This 515-nucleotide ribosomal RNA is filed under the name uncultured bacterium. Its description in RNAcentral is "partial 16S ribosomal RNA". It matches the Rfam family "Bacterial small subunit ribosomal RNA", at positions 28 to 523 of the family's 1533-position model. The record is from RNAcentral.
GAUGAACGCUGGCGGCGUGCCUAAUACAUGCAAGUCGAGCGAAUGGAUUGAGAGCUUGCUCUUAUGAAGUUAGCGGCGGACGGGUGGGUAACACGUGGGUAACCUGCCCAUAAGACUGGGAUAACUCCGGGAAACCGGGGCUAAUACCGGAUAACAUUUUGAACCGCAUGGUUCGAAAUUGAAAGGCGGCUUCGGCUGUCACUUAUGGAUGGACCCGCGUCGCAUUAGCUAGUUGGUGAGGUAACGGCUCACCAAGGCAACGAUGCGUAGCCGACCUGGGAGGGUGAUCGGCCACACUGGGACUGAGACACGGCCCAGACUGCUACGGGAGGCAGCAGUAGGGAAUCUUCCGCAAUGGACGAAAGUCUGACGGAGCAACGCCGCGUGAGUGAUGAAGGCUUUCGGGUCGUAAAACUCUGUUGUUAGGGAAGAACAAGUGCUAGUUGAAUAAGCUGGCACCUUGACGGUACCUAACCAGAAAGCCACGGCUAACUACGUGCCAGCCGCCGCCGUAA